AUGAAAAAGAGUUUAAAAUACAUUAAUACAAAUGUAGAAUAUGGUUAGAAAUUUUAAAACAACACUGAAGAUUAUAGGCUUCAGUAUAUAAAGUAUUUACCAAAAACUCAAUAUUUUCGUAGGGGUUACAACAUAUAUUUUGAGAAAAUUUCAAAAAAUAAGAAAAUAUUGUUUUAGUGCCUAGUUGCAUCAUGCAUUAACAUAUGAUGGCGUUCAAAGAGGUUUGGAACCUUUGUUGUCUCUGUUUUUCAAGAAAAUAGUGAUUUUAUAGUGGUUAUUCC
RNAcentral lists this long non-coding RNA (281 nucleotides) under Brassica napus (rape). Its description in RNAcentral is "long non-coding RNA (BNAP_LNC025095)". Lineage: Eukaryota; Viridiplantae; Streptophyta; Magnoliopsida; Brassicales; Brassicaceae. The record is from RNAcentral.